Molecule: long non-coding RNA, 881 nt
Organism: Falco peregrinus (peregrine falcon)
Lineage: Eukaryota; Metazoa; Chordata; Aves; Falconiformes; Falconidae
Exons: 3
Source: RefSeq, a predicted model, not a curated record
UUUCUGUUAGGAAUACGACAAGCCCCAAACUAGAGGUUUCCAACCAUGUAUCCAUGUGCCAGUUGCUUUUACAGAGCUUUUUAACAUUUGACGUAAACUGCUAUUUUCUCUGUGUUCAGGCACUCGUCAAAAUAUUUUAAAUUAAAAGAUUUUAGGGAAAAAUUCUUCUUAUGAAAAGCUCACAGGAACAUGCAUCAAACUGUGCUUCUUACUGGCAUGUAAGACUGAGGGCAGGAGGUUGCUUUGGAGCAGACUGCAGAUCCAAGCGGCCGCCUGGGGCCUCUGCCCAUUGAGACACGGGCCCAGGCACAGCCUCCACAAGGCAUGCCAGAGUCUGACAUCGUCCAGAAGAACAAAAGCAUUUUCUGGGGAAGACAAGGAGCACAUUUUAAGUGAGGACAAUUGCACUCUCCGGCAGUUGAACUGAGUUUAUUUCCAUCCACACUUUUUGGUUUUUCAAGCUGUCACUGCAGCACGAUCAUAGCGUUAACAUGGGCUUCAGCAGUGACCGUGUAACCAGGGCAGUGACUUGGCUGGCUCUGCAGGGGGAAGACCCGUGGACACUUCAACUCCCAGACUUUUGGCACAGUCUCCUACAACAUUCUUAACAACAAGCUGUAAAAGGAUGGGCUAGUGUAUCUGUCCAACAUGAGAGGAGUAUGAAAAAUCCACCCACACCUUCUCAGCAUGUGAGCUCCCCAGUGACCUCUGUUCUACCUAUCUCAAACUAGCAAUACCUUGCUAGCAGCAGCAGAACAACCUGUAAGUUCACAUCCAGUCACACAGAGGAUGCACAGCCGGUAUUGCUCAGACACAAGAGGAGCCAUUCCCUGGUCACAAGAGAAGUUUAUACUUCCAAGAUCUAUGUAGAUCUCUCCAAG